RNAcentral lists this ribosomal RNA (542 nucleotides) under uncultured bacterium. RNAcentral describes it as "bacterial SSU rRNA". It matches the Rfam family "Bacterial small subunit ribosomal RNA", at positions 355 to 897 of the family's 1533-position model. The record is from RNAcentral.
UGAGGAAUAUUGGUCAAUGGGCGCAAGCCUGAACCAGCCAUGCCGCGUGCAGGAAGACGGUCCUAUGGAUUGUAAACUGCUUUUAUUCGGGGAUAAACCUCCUUACGUGUAGGGAGCUGAAGGUACCGAAAGAAUAAGCACCGGCUAACUCCGUGCCAGCAGCCGCGGUAAUACGGAGGGUGCAAGCGUUAUCCGGAAUCAUUGGGUUUAAAGGGUCCGCAGGCGGGAUUGUAAGUCAGUGGUGAAAAGCGGCAGCUCAACUGUCGUCGUGCCGUUGAUACUGUAGUUCUUGAAUUUGAUUGGAGUGGGCGGAAUAUGUCAUGUAGCGGUGAAAUGCUUAGAUAUGACAUAGAACACCGAUCGCGAAGGCAGCUCACUAAGUCUGAAUUGACGCUCAUGGACGAAAGCGCGGGUAGCAAACAGGAUUAGAUACCCUGGUAGUCCGCGCCGUAAACGAUGAUUACUCGUUGCCGGCCUUUUGGGGUCGGUGACCAAGCGAAAGUGAUAAGUAAUCCACCUGGGGAGUACGAUCGCAAGGUUGA